This 476-nucleotide ribosomal RNA is filed under the name uncultured bacterium. RNAcentral's name for it is "bacterial SSU rRNA". It matches the Rfam family "Bacterial small subunit ribosomal RNA", at positions 29 to 506 of the family's 1533-position model. The record is from RNAcentral.
AUGAACGCUAGCUGGAGGCUUAAUACAUGCAAGUCGAGCGGGAUUGGUAGCAAUACCAUGAGAGCGGCGCACGGGUGAGUAACGCGUACACGACCUACCUCUGACAGGGGGAUAGCCCUGGGAAACUGGGAUUAAUACCGCAUAUUAUUCUGAUUAAUAAAGGAUUGGAAUGAAAGUUCAGGCGGUCAGAGAUGGGUGUGCGUCUGAUUAGCUAGUUGGUAGGGUAACGGCCUACCAAGGCGAUGAUCAGUAGGGGGCGUGAGAGCGUGAUCCCCCACACGGGUACUGAGACACGGACCCGACUCCUACGGGAGGCAGCAGUAAGGAAUAUUGGACAAUGGCCGCAAGGCUGAUCCAGCCAUCCAGCGUGCAGGAAGAAGGCCCUAUGGGUUGUAAACUGCUUUUAUCAGGGAAUAAACCUCUGGAUUUACUCCGGAGCUGAAGGUACCUGAAGAAUAAGCACCGGCUAACUCCGU